This 569-nucleotide ribosomal RNA is filed under the name uncultured bacterium. Its description in RNAcentral is "bacterial SSU rRNA". It matches the Rfam family "Bacterial small subunit ribosomal RNA", at positions 97 to 662 of the family's 1533-position model. The record is from RNAcentral.
GGCGAACGGGUGAGUAAUACAUCGGAACGUGCCCUGUGAUGGGGGAUAACUACGCGAAAGCGUAGCUAAUACUGCAUACGACCUACGGGUGAAAGUGGGGGAUCGCAAGACCUCACGUCAUAGGAGCGGCCGAUGGCGGAUUAGCUAGUUGGUAAGGUAAAGGCUUACCAAGGCAACGAUCCGUAGCUGGUCUGAGAGGACGACCAGCCACACUGGGACUGAGACACGGCCCAGACUCCUACGGGAGGCAGCAGUGGGGAAUCUUGGACAAUGGGGGCAACCCUGAUCCAGCAAUGCCGCGUGUGGGAUGAAGGCCUUCGGGUUGUAAACCACUUUUGGCGGGGGCGAAAUAUCGAGUGCUAAUACCAUUCGGUGAUGACGGUACCCGCAGAAUAAGCACCGGCUAACUACGUGCCAGCAGCCGCGGUAAUACGUAGGGUGCAAGCGUUAAUCGGAAUUACUGGGCGUAAAGCGUGCGCAGGCGGUUAGGUAAGACAGAUGUGAAAUUCCCGGGCUCAACCUGGGAACUGCAUUUGUGACUGCCUGACUAGAGUGCGGCAGAGGGGAGU